GGGGUUGUGGCUCAGUAGUAGAGUGCUUGCCUAGCAUGUGUGAAGCACUAGGUUCAAUCCUUAGCACCCCA
This 71-nucleotide transfer RNA is filed under the name Ictidomys tridecemlineatus (thirteen-lined ground squirrel). RNAcentral describes it as "Spermophilus tridecemlineatus (thirteen-lined ground squirrel) tRNA". It matches the Rfam family "tRNA". From Rfam's summary of the family: Transfer RNA (tRNA) molecules are approximately 80 nucleotides in length. Their secondary structure includes four short double-helical elements and three loops (D, anti-codon, and T loops). Further hydrogen bonds mediate the characteristic L-shaped molecular structure. tRNAs have two regions of fundamental functional importance: the anti-codon, which is responsible for specific mRNA codon recognition, and the 3' end, to which the tRNAs corresponding amino acid is attached (by aminoacyl-tRNA synthetases). tRNAs cope with the degeneracy of the genetic code in two manners: having more than one tRNA (with a specific anti-codon) for a particular amino acid; and 'wobble' base-pairing, i.e. permitting non-standard base-pairing at the 3rd anti-codon position. The record is from Rfam by way of RNAcentral. Lineage: Eukaryota; Metazoa; Chordata; Mammalia; Rodentia; Sciuridae.